GACGAACCGAGCGAACGUUGUUCGGAAUAACUGGGCUUAAAGGGCGCGUAGGCGGGCCGCCAAGUUCGAGGUGAAAUCCUCCGGCUCAACCGGAGAACUGCCUCGAAUACUGGAGGCCUCGAGGCGGGUAGGGGCACGCGGAACUGUGGGUAGAGCGGUGAAAUGCGUUGAUAUCCACAGGAACUCCGGUGGCGAAGGCGGCGUGCUGGACCCGAUCUGACGCUGAGGCGCGAAAGCCAGGGGAGCAAACGGG
RNAcentral lists this ribosomal RNA (253 nucleotides) under uncultured bacterium. RNAcentral describes it as "partial 16S ribosomal RNA". It matches the Rfam family "Bacterial small subunit ribosomal RNA", at positions 524 to 776 of the family's 1533-position model. The record is from RNAcentral.